CUGCUCAAUGAAUAUUAUUUAAAUAGCUGCAGUAUUCUGACUGUACUAAGGUAGCAUAAUAAUUUGUUUUUUAAUUGAAAAAUAGAAUGAAAGAUUUAAUGAAAAAUAAACUGUUUCAAAAUAAUAAAUAAUUAAAUUUAAAUUUUAAGUAAAAAUACUUAGAUUUUUUUAAAAGACAAGAAGACCCUAUAAAAUUUUAUUAAAAAAAAUUAAUUUUUUUUUUAAUUUAAUUGGGGUAAUUUUAAAAUUUAUUAAAUUUUUAUUUUUUUUUACAUAAAUUUAUGAAAUUUUAUAAUCUUAAAAGAAUAAAAUUAAAAAAAAAUUACUUUAGGGAUAACAGGAUAAAAUUAUUUAAUAGUUCUUAUAUAAAAUAAUUUUUAUUACCUCGAUGUUGAAUUAAAAUUAAAUUUAAAUGAAAAAAAAUUAAAAUUUUUAGUUCUGUUCGACU
RNAcentral lists this ribosomal RNA (448 nucleotides) under Sigalphus sp. DLJQ-AC. Its description in RNAcentral is "partial 16S ribosomal RNA". The record is from RNAcentral. Lineage: Eukaryota; Metazoa; Arthropoda; Insecta; Hymenoptera; Braconidae.